UACGUAGGGGGCAAGCGUUGUCCGGAUUUAUUGGGCGUAAAGAGCGUGUAGGCGGCCUGGAAGGUCAGCUGUGAAAACUCGAGGCUCAACCUCGAGACGUCGGUUGAAACCACCUGGCUAGAGUCCGGAAGAGGAGAGUGGAAUUCCCGGUGUAGCGGUGAAAUGCGCAGGUAUCGGGAAGAACACCCGUGGCGAAGGCGGCUCUCUGGGACGGUACUGACGCUGAGACGCGAAAGCGUGGGGAGCGAACAGG
RNAcentral lists this ribosomal RNA (253 nucleotides) under uncultured bacterium. RNAcentral describes it as "partial 16S ribosomal RNA". It matches the Rfam family "Bacterial small subunit ribosomal RNA", at positions 524 to 776 of the family's 1533-position model. The record is from RNAcentral.